AUGGACCUGAGUCUCCUGAUCCAGCCUCACUCUAUGUAAUAGCUCAGGUUAAAAUGCAUAGAGAGGGGAGUGCCUGGACCCAUCCCAAUCCCAGACCUACCAAGGACCAAGGACCUCCUGGAGGCAGUGGCAGGGGGCCCCCAACCAGACCCCCACCCUCUGGCCCAUUCUACCACCCACAGCCGGCCAGUCUCCUCCUCCCAGCCCCUCUGCCUUCAUGUCAGGACAGGAAAAAAGGUCAGAAAGAAGAUGCCAGCCUCCCACAGGAAAAACAACAGGCCCGGAAGCCUGGGAGAACUUGCUGGAAUCUACACCAAGCAUGUCCAGACUGGGGCCCUGAGUCCGUGGGUGUGUCCGGGGGACCUAGGCUUCUGCGUCCUCCUUCAGCCCUCAAGCAGUCCCAGAAGGCGGCCUGGGAGAGGAACACAGAGAGGUUAUGUAACUCACCCACAGCCGCACAGACAGGAAGAACCGGGCCAGGCUCUGGAGUCCAUGCACUCAAGGAGCCUCGCUGUGGCCUCUCCCUGCCUCACCCCAGGUCUCUGCCCUGCACAAGGGUCUCCAGCUAUAGAGUACCACCAUGCACAAGACAGAUAAGGUCCCCAGAAGUCCUCAGAGACCAUCAACCUAGUAAACAAGAUAAUUUCAGGGCUGGGCAGGGAACACACGGAGCUGAGCCAGUGCAGGAGGGCGACAAAGUGGGGUGGUCAGGCCGCUGUCCACCUGGGGCCUGGUGGUCAGGAAGGGUCUGUGUUUUAAGAAGUUACAUUUGGGGGCUGAGGCUAUGGUUCAAGCAAGGCCCUGGCUCAGUCCCCAAUACCACAGGAUGAAAGUGAAAAGAAAGUAGAUUUGAGCUGAAACAUGGAAGAACACCAAGCAGAAGAGCCCGGGGAAAAGGAGUUCCAGACAGAAGGCACAGCACGUGGAAAGGCCCUGGGGCAGGAAGAACAGGUCAGGUUUGAGAAGACAGGCAGAGAGAGAAGUUGGUCUUUCUUGGCUAAUCGGUGUUUCCAGGCCCCUGGAGCAAAGCUGAACACAUCACCUUGCAGGUCUCCAACAGCCUUCAGCAUGAAGAUUGAAUCCUAGUGAUGUCAUAGUUCUUGGACAUUAGUCAGCCUAAAACUCAGGUCUGCGACCCUGACGCCCUCCCUCCACUCCCCCAUCACUGACACUGAGUCAUCUUGAACAGCUCAACCCAGCUUCUGCGGAUCAAGGUCCAAAUGUACGUGGUGCUUACCUAAGACAGCCCA
Long non-coding RNA from Castor canadensis (American beaver), 1250 nucleotides. RefSeq lists it as uncharacterized. Lineage: Eukaryota; Metazoa; Chordata; Mammalia; Rodentia; Castoridae. The record is from RefSeq and is a predicted model, not a curated record.